UACGUAGGGUGCAAGCGUUAAUCGGAAUUACUGGGCGUAAAGCGUGCGCAGGCGGUUUUGUAAGUCUGAUGUGAAAUCCCCGGGCUCAACCUGGGAAUUGCAUUGGAGACUGCAAGGCUAGAAUCUGGCAGAGGGGGGUAGAAUUCCACGUGUAGCAGUGAAAUGCGUAGAGAUGUGGAGGAACACCGAUGGCGAAGGCAGCCCCCUGGGUCAAGAUUGA
This 220-nucleotide ribosomal RNA is filed under the name uncultured bacterium. RNAcentral describes it as "partial 16S ribosomal RNA". It matches the Rfam family "Bacterial small subunit ribosomal RNA", at positions 524 to 743 of the family's 1533-position model. The record is from RNAcentral.